GCAAAAAGCACUCAUUCGGGAAAAAGAGAAAAUAUCAGCUAAGAGCAUGGACGACGUUGAUCGAUUGUUCGAGUGCUUCAAGUGCGGCGUCUCUCCUCCCCAAUCUGCUUUUAGAGAAAGAAAAAGAAGAAAGAACAAAUUGAAGCAUGGGAGUUCAACCCAAGAGGUCUCUACAUCUCCUGGCAUUCCAUCUUCGGGAUCAGCUGGACAAAGACCAAAAAAAGCAAAAGAUGUACAGCUCUCCAUUGAGAAAUUUGAUACAGCAACAAUUAAAGCCAACAAAAAUAAUCCUGGGAAGCAGUUCUCUCCUAUUGUAUUCUAUGGGUCUCCUAAUGGUGUGCCCCCAAAGAGACCAUCCAGUUUGUUGCAAUUGUUACAUCAAAUACGUGUUGAUCUGAGUGAACAAAAUAAAUUGAGCUCGAGGAAGGAAAUAUGGGCUACAUUUCCUAGGCAGGAUGAAGCAAUGAAGUUUGCCAAACGGCACAUGCAGGUUCGGGUUUUUAGUUAUCAAGAUCACUUUUCUGGACAACGAAGGUUCCUUGUCUCUACAUAUAAGGAAUUCUGGCAAAGGUACAAAAAUAUGGAUUCCAAAUUCCGUCAUCAUUAUGAAGUGAUUCAGGAGGGUUUACCAUGCCACCUUUACUUUGAUUUAGAGUUUAGUAAGAGAGUGAAUGCAGAAAACAAUGGAGAUGAAAUGGUUGAUCUCCUGAUAUCAGUCAUUUUUGAAGCCUUACUUGAUAAAUACUCCAUUCAAGGAAACCUAGAAUGGAUAGUAGAGCUCGAUUCCUCCACUGAAGAAAAGUUCUCUCGCCAUUUAAUUAUUCGCAUACCAAAGACUGCUUUCAAGGACAACUCACAUGCAGGUGCAUUUGUUGCUGAGAUAUGCUCUCGGAUUUUAAGUGCAAGGAAGAGUGAUGAAAGAUUUGAGAAAUUUUUUGUGAGGAAAGAUUCAACGUCCACCGAACCAUCAAGCCAACUUUUUGUGGACACUGCUGUCUAUUCUAGAAAUCGUUGCUUUCGUUUAGCUCUAUCAUCAAAGGCAGGGAAGAAUUCUGUUCUUUUACCUAUGGGGCGAUUCAAAUGUAAGGACAUGUGUGAGGAAGAGAUGUUCAUGGCAUCAUUGAUCUGCAAUAUGGAUGCUGACUGUGAGAAGCUUUUAGUCUGCAAAAUGGAGUUAGAUUGUGUCAAAACCCUGCUCUUUGAUACUGAGGAGAAUCAUAAUAUUGGAAAUUAUUACAGUGCCCCUCAAGAAUUUGCAUUGAGUGCUUGCACAAGAGAUCUUACAACAACAUACUUCCUGGGGAAGUCACCAUUUCCAGCUCUAGACAAAUUUGUAGAAUUCAUUGCCUCCAUUGGCAAUGUCUCAGGAAAAAUACGGAGCUGGUUUUGGUUCUCAGAAUAUGGACUGAUGGUCUACAGCAUGUCAAGAAAUAGAUACUGUGAGCGAAUUGGUAGACAGCAUAAAAGCAAUCAUGUGAUGUACAUUGUUGACUUAAGAAGGGCUGUUUAUUAUCAGAAAUGUUAUGAUCCUGACUGCAGAGGUUACCGAUCUCCCUUACGACCAAUCCCGAUUGAUGUCAUUCCUGAUCCUUUGGUUUUCUUUGAUUCUGAUCAGACAAUUAAUCAUGGUGUUUCAAGAGUUAAUAACCUCAACCAUCAAUUUGUUGAUAGUGAUGAGGAACAUGCUUUGCUUUACAAUGAUGAAAACAUUACAGACAACUGCAGUAAAGAUUCUUGGUGGGUUGAAGCCAUAAGAGUUGCAGAUGAUAUUGAAAAUAAGAAAAAUACAGUAGAGCUUAGCAACAUGGAGGAGAGAAUUAACGAUGAAGAUGAGGAAUGGUGGGUAGCUGUAGAAAGUACUGCAUCCCAGGCCGAAUUGAACCAUUUCAACUGUGCAGGUUAGGGCAGUUGGUUGAUAAACAUUCUGGCCAUGUAUACCAAUACAGAUGCAUUCUCUCUUGAACAAAAGAUUUUAGCGACUUCUGGCAACUCAACUAGAACAAGUGCUGCAUUACCAUUUAAACUGCAAGCCACGUUGGUAUUCUACUAUCUGGUGAUCUUGCAUGGAAGAAUCGGUUUGGAGAUCAUUUCGCUUGGAAUCUGAUUGUUAUGGGGAAAAGCAAAAAUUUCAGAUUGCAGAAACUUUAAUACAUAAGAAGGCAAGCUCAAGUCGAAUGGAGUCUUUGAUUUGAUGCCACAAGUUAGAAGGUUAAUUAUGCAGUAGAUAAUGACGAUUCUCCAGCAAAGUUAGAUCGCACUCAGCUA
Quercus lobata is the source of this 2265-nucleotide RNA transcript. It is a transcript of the gene named DNA primase, with no coding region annotated. The transcript has 15 exons. The record is from RefSeq and is a predicted model, not a curated record. Lineage: Eukaryota; Viridiplantae; Streptophyta; Magnoliopsida; Fagales; Fagaceae.